This 3084-nucleotide long non-coding RNA is filed under the name Ananas comosus (pineapple). RNAcentral's name for it is "long non-coding RNA (ACOM_LNC003598)". Lineage: Eukaryota; Viridiplantae; Streptophyta; Magnoliopsida; Poales; Bromeliaceae. The record is from RNAcentral.
UUCAAAUUAUUUAUAGUAUAAAUAAAUAAAAAAAUUGAUAUGAGAAGUAAGAAAUUGAUAAUUCUUUGAAAGUAAAAGAAAAAAAAAGAAGAAGAAGAUAUAACAGGCUAUUUUAGUGUGUACUAUAGUAGUAUUGCUCAAUUGAAAAUUUGAAGGGUAAAGGUUGGCCACCUAAUUAAUUAACCCUACAAAAUUAUUAUAUAUAUACUAGUGAAGGCCCGCGCUACGCUGCGGGAAAUUUAUAUAAAAAUUUAAAAUUUAAAUUUUAAAUUUAAUUUUUAUUUUUUUGUACAUGAUCCGCAAUUAUACAAAUAAAAAAAAUUUAGAACAGGGGAGGAAAAGGGGGAAAAAGGGUAAAGAAAAAGAUAAUAUCAAAAAAAAAGAAGAAAAGAGGGGGGAAAAGAAAUAUUUUAAAAAAAUAAAUAGUAAAUUAUAUAAUAAAUUAUUAUAUAAUAAUAUAUAUAUAUAAAUAAAAAACUAUAUAUAAUAAAUAAAUAUAUAUUUAUAAAUAAAAUUAUAUAUAUANNNNNNNNNNNNNNNNNNNNNNNNNUAUAUAUAUAUAUAUAUAUAUAUAUGCUAAGGCUACUAUAUUCUUAUGAGUAUAGAUCCCUUUUAUACUUAUAAAUUUUUCGCCAUUGGAUGUGCAAUUAGGAUAAUAGUGAUCCCCUAGGAUUGAGUGGGUGGUUGGUUGAAUAGUAUGAUUUACGGAUGGAAAUGGUCAAAAGUAUGAUUUACGGAUGGAAAUGAUCCCCUAGGAUUGAGUGGGUGGUUGGUUGAAUAGUAUGAUUUACGGAUGGAAAUAGUCAAAAGUAUAGAUCUAACGAUAAAAAACUUAUGAGUAUAAAAAGGGUCUAUACUAAUAUCUAUUAGAGUAUAGUAGCCGAACUCUCUCUAUAUAUAAUUAUAUAUAAUAUAUAUUUUAAUUAUAUAAAUUAAUGUUAUGUAUUUUAAUUAUAUGUAUAUAGAAUUUAGAUUAUUGGGCCCAUAAAAUCAAACCAGCAAAAUCCUACUUUAAUUGCUCUUUCUUUCUCUUUUUCACUCGCUCAUAGAGUUGUUUUUCCUAAUUUUUUUAACAUUAUAAUAUUGCAUUUCAUGCAUUCAUUUUGUAUAUUGAGCUAUUAGACAUUUUUUGUAUCGAAUUUUAGAUAAUAUUUUAUAAAAAUUAAACUAUAGAUUGCACGAUGUUAAGAAUUUCAAGCAGCUCGUUUAGGGCUCGAGCUAGCUCGACUCGAAAUUAGACUCACUCGAGCUUAGCUCGAAUUAAUUUCAAGCCGAGCUUGAGCCUAAAUUUAAGCUCGAAAUUAAUUUCAAACCAAGCUUGAGCUGAGGUAAGCUCGCUCGAGCUUGGCUCGUUUCCACCCCUAGCUAAAUCUAACUAAGAAUGAAUCUCAUAUAUAUAUAUAUAUAUAUAUAUAUAUAUAGUGAGGCUACUAUGCUUCUGAAAGUACGGAGCCUUCCGUGCUUCCAGAUCGUUUUUCAUAUAUAUUGCGACUUUCAAAUCGUCGAUCGACUCUAUUAAACUUAAUCUACAGUAUUUGAAGUACCUAGAAAAUAAAUUAUACGAUUUUUCGAUAUUAUUUGCCUAGUGAACGAAGGGGCUCAAAAUCAACGGCUGAAAAUAAAAAUCUUACAAAACGUGAUAAUAUGACAUUAAAAUUUUAUAUCAAAGAUAUUGAUCUUGUUUUAGUAUAAAGAAUUUUCUAUCAAAAUUUCACGUGAUUUGGAUAUUUCUAUACCGUUAAACUUGCAAACGGCUCACUACGGCCAUUAAAAUUAUUGAUUUUGAACCCCUUCGAUCACUAGGCAAAUGAUAUCGAAAAAUCAUAAAAUUUAUUUUCUAGGUACUUCAAAUACUCUAGAUCAAAUUUAACGAAGUCGAUCGACGAUUCGAAAGUCGCAACAUCAAAAAUGACCUGGAAGCUCGAAAGGCUCCGUGCUUCCAAAAAUUUAGUAGCCUCACUCGAUAUAUAUAUAUAUAUAUAUAUAUAUAUAUGGGGCAAUUUCAUAGAUGCCCCUUCUAAACUUUAAAAUAUCAUAUAUACCCUUCUAAAAUUUAAAAUAUCAUAUAUACCCCUGUAAACAUCAAAAAUUAACAUCAAUACCCCUACUGUUAGUUAUUCUAACUUUACCAUAGUUAUUAAAUGGUUAAAGAUGGGUUAACUUUUAAUAUGACUAGUUUACCCUCAACUCCUAUAAGUAAAAAUGCAUGGAGAUCCCUCAGCUAUAUGUCAUUUUAAAACAACUCCCUCAACUUUUAUAUUUUAGUUGACAUCCCAUUAAUUUUUAAUUUUUUAAAAAAUUGACUAAUUUUAGUGCACGGAAAAUGAGAUUUUGUCCAUUUUUUUUAUGAUUUAACAAAAUCUAGUGGCUCUAUUUAUAUUUUAGCAAAUAAAUAACUAUGUAUAAAAAUUUAAAUAAAAAUAAAAGUUGAGGAUUUUUUUUUAUCUUUGUUUAAUCUUGGAAACUUGCAAAAUUUUUUAACCAAAAUUAUUCACGAUAAUUUUAUCUAUAUUAAAUGCAUUAAAAAACUGAAAUAUUAUAUAUUUUAGCUUUUGAACAAAACUCUCUCUUUUUUUUCAAUCGACGAAAAAAUGCAUGCAUAUAGUUAUAUAAGAACCCAAUUUUGAAUGGGUGAUCUUAAUUGAUGCUGAGCAGGGAUAGUUUCAGUUAUAGAAGCAAAAAAAAAAGUCUCAUUAUAUUCAAAUUCAGUUAUUGUUUUAGUCUAUAUCCAAACUAAACUUGAGCCGAAAUCCGAAACCAAAAACAAAACCAAAAUUAUAUAAAAACAUAUUAUAUAUAAAAUAUAUUUUUUAUAUAUUUUUAAUAAUUAAUGUAUAUAUUAAUAAUUUAGUUUUAUAUUUAGUAUAUUAAAUUAGUUAAAUUUAUAUUUAUUAAAAUUGUCUUAAAAUACCUAUUAGUAAUUUUACUAUUGAUAAGAGAUAAAGGGUAAAAAUGGCAUUUUGAAAAUUUAAUCCCAUUUCUAACGGACUUUAACUAGUGGAGGGUAUGUAUGAAAAUUUUUUAUAUAUUGGAGGGUAUUCAUGAUAUUAUCAAUUUUAGAAGGGUAUUGAUGAAAUUAAAAGU